Molecule: long non-coding RNA, 355 nt
Filed under: Ficedula albicollis (Collared flycatcher)
Lineage: Eukaryota; Metazoa; Chordata; Aves; Passeriformes; Muscicapidae
Description: lncRNA (ENSFALG00000024414.1)
Source: RNAcentral
GGGGGGGGGGGGGGGGGGGGGGGGGGGGGGGGGGGGGGGGGGGGGGGGGGCCAGUGCUCCCAGUUCCCCCAGUGCCCCCAGCGCCUCCAGCGCCCCCAGCGCCCCCAGUUCCCCCAGUGCUCCCAGCGCCCCCAGUGCCCCCAGUGUUCCCAGUGCUCCCAGUGCUCCCAGCGCCGAGUCAAUGGUUAACCCGCGCUCACCCCGCGCCUCCCCUCCUGACGAAGCAGCCCAGGCUCUCUGCUCCGCAGAGCUGGAGCGGCACAGGAGCCCCACACACCUCCCUGAGCACCUGGGCACAGCCAUCUCUGGGCCUGCAGGCACAGCUUCCACCUGCAUCCCUUUGAUCACCUGCUGA